This 278-nucleotide ribosomal RNA is filed under the name uncultured bacterium. RNAcentral describes it as "partial 16S ribosomal RNA". It matches the Rfam family "Bacterial small subunit ribosomal RNA", at positions 29 to 334 of the family's 1533-position model. The record is from RNAcentral.
AACGAACGCUGGCGGCAUGCCUAACACAUGCAAGUCGAACGAGACCUUCGGGUCUAGUGGCGCACGGGUGCGUAGCGCGUGGGAAUCUGCCCUUGGGUUCGGAAUAACUCGCCGAAAGGCGUGCUAAUACCGGAUGAUGUCGUAAGACCAAAGAUUUAUCGCCCAGGGAUGAGCCCGCGUAAGAUUAGGUAGUUGGUGAGGUAAAGGCUCACCAAGCCGACGAUCUUUAGCUGGUCUGAGAGGAUGACCAGCCACACUGGAACUGAGACACGGUCCAG